This 1493-nucleotide ribosomal RNA is filed under the name uncultured Nostoc sp. Its description in RNAcentral is "bacterial SSU rRNA". It matches the Rfam family "Bacterial small subunit ribosomal RNA". Lineage: Bacteria; Bacillati; Cyanobacteriota; Cyanophyceae; Nostocales; Nostocaceae. The record is from RNAcentral.
GAUGAACGCUGGCGGUAUGCUUAACACAUGCAAGUCGAACGAACUCUUCGGAGUGAGUGGCGGACGGGUGAGUAACGCGUGAGAAUCUGGCUUUAGGUCUGGGACAACCACUGGAAACGGUGGCUAAUACCGGAUGUGCCCUUUGGGGUGAAAGGUUAACUGCCUGAAGAUGAGCUCGCGUCUGAUUAGCUAGUUGGUAGUGUAAUGGACUACCAAGGCGACGAUCAGUAGCUGGUCUGAGAGGACGAUCAGCCACACUGGGACUGAGACACGGCCCAGACUCCUACGGGAGGCAGCAGUGGGGAAUUUUCCGCAAUGGGCGAAAGCCUGACGGAGCAAUACCGCGUGAGGGAGGAAGGCUCUUGGGUCGUAAACCUCUUUUCUCAGGGAAGAACACAAUGACGGUACCUGAGGAAUAAGCAUCGGCUAACUCCGUGCCAGCAGCCGCGGUAAUACGGAGGAUGCAAGCGUUAUCCGGAAUGAUUGGGCGUAAAGCGUCCGCAGGUGGCAAUGUAAGUCUGCUGUUAAAGAGUCUAGCUCAACUAGAUACAAGCAGUGGAAACUACAUAGCUAGAGUGCGUUCGGGGCAGAGGGAAUUCCUGGUGUAGCGGUGAAAUGCGUAGAGAUCAGGAAGAACACCAGUGGCGAAGGCGCUCUGCUAGGCCGUAACUGACACUGAGGGACGAAAGCUAGGGGAGCGAAUGGGAUUAGAUACCCCAGUAGUCCUAGCCGUAAACGAUGGAUACUAGGCGUGGCUUGUAUCGACCCGAGCCGUGCCGUAGCUAACGCGUUAAGUAUCCCGCCUGGGGAGUACGCCGGCAACGGUGAAACUCAAAGGAAUUGACGGGGGCCCGCACAAGCGGUGGAGUAUGUGGUUUAAUUCGAUGCAACGCGAAGAACCUUACCAAGGCUUGACAUGUCGCGAAUCUUGAUGAAAGUUGAGAGUGCCUUCGGGAGCGCGAACACAGGUGGUGCAUGGCUGUCGUCAGCUCGUGUCGUGAGAUGUUGGGUUAAGUCCCGCAACGAGCGCAACCCUCGUUUUUAGUUGCCAGCAUUAAGUUGGGCACUCUAGAGAGACUGCCGGUGACAAACCGGAGGAAGGUGGGGAUGACGUCAAGUCAGCAUGCCCCUUACGCCUUGGGCUACACACGUACUACAAUGCUCCGGACAGAGGGCAGCAAGCCAGCGAUGGCAAGCAAAUCCCGUAAACCGGAGCUCAGUUCAGAUCGCAGGCUGCAACUCGCCUGCGUGAAGGAGGAAUCGCUAGUAAUUGCAGGUCAGCAUACUGCAGUGAAUUCGUUCCCGGGCCUUGUACACACCGCCCGUCACACCAUGGAAGCUGGUAGUGCCCGAAGUCAUUACUUCAACCUUUCGGGGAGAAGGAUGCCUAAGGCAGGACUGGUGACUGGGGUGAAGUCGUAACAAGGUAGCCGUACCGGAAGGUGUGGCUGGAUCACCUCCUUUCAAGGAGACCUACACCCCUUAGAAAUCGA